RNAcentral lists this ribosomal RNA (310 nucleotides) under Cynopotamus sp. Its description in RNAcentral is "partial small subunit ribosomal RNA". It matches the Rfam family "Bacterial small subunit ribosomal RNA", at positions 868 to 1344 of the family's 1533-position model. The record is from RNAcentral. Lineage: Eukaryota; Metazoa; Chordata; Actinopteri; Characiformes; Characidae.
UCCGCCAGGGUACUACAAGCGCUAGCUUAAAACCCAAAGGACUUGACGGUGUCUCAGACCCACCUAGAGGAGCCUGUUCUAGAACCGAUAAUCCCCGUUAAACCUCACCACCCCUUGUUUUUUCCGCCUAUAUACCGCCGUCGCAAGCUUACCCUGUGAAGGUCUAAUAGUAAGCAAAAUGGUAAUACACCAAAAUGUCAGGUCGAGGUGUAGCUCACGAGGUGGGAAGAAAUGGGCUACAUUUUCUACUUCAGAAUAUUACGAAUAAUACUAUGAAAUUAGUAAUUGAAGGUGGAUUUAGCAGUAAAAA